RNAcentral lists this ribosomal RNA (121 nucleotides) under Exserohilum turcica Et28A. Lineage: Eukaryota; Fungi; Ascomycota; Dothideomycetes; Pleosporales; Pleosporaceae. The record is from RNAcentral.
ACAUACGACCACAGGAUAUCCGAUUUCACUCGAUCCCGUUCGCUCUCGAAAAGUUAAACGGUAUACCGGCGGUUUAGUAGUCAGGUGGGUGACCACUGGCGAAUCCCUGCUGUUGUAUGUU